UCUCAGGCUUGUUUUGACAGCGCUGGGAGCUGGGUCCCAUGAGAAGAACAGCAAACUCACUCCUUUCCCUUUCCACGUCUGGAGCUCCAGCCCAUCAUUCGCCGCAGGGGGAAGGAAGAAACAAUCAAGCAUUGUCUUGUUCCGGACUGGUGUGUCAGGGCCUCAUGGAAUAAAUAUUAUUUGCCUGGGAGGGGAACUGGCUGGAAGGCAGUCAAGUAAGGGCUGGGGUGGAGGGAGGGAGGGCAGCGAUGUUUGGGUUUGGUUUUAUUAGUAGUUUAAUCUUCUUCUCCCUUAGUUCUGCAGAUUCUUUUUUUUUUCUUUCUUUCUCCUGACAGGUCAUUAAGCAUAAAGGCCAUGAUGUAUAGGGGCCUCUGCCAAGAAGAAACAAAAAGGGACUUUCUGAAGCGUGUGGCCUUGCAUUACUAUGGCCUCCUGGUCACUCUCUGACCAGCUCUGGGUGAGCAAGGGGCAAACAUUCUGGGGACUCUCCCAGGGAGCAAACGACAUUCUGGAACCUUCCACCCACCAUGCAGCCCCUCAGCAAUCCCAAGACAUCUCACCCCGUGUGGCUGCUUUAUUCCUUAUGUCAGUAUUAGAAGGACAGCAGACUCCAUUGUAGAUCUGGGGAGAGGGAAGCCAAGAGUCUCCAGGUUUCCAGCGUUUUUCGAGUUCUCAGGACAUGCGAUUCAUUAAAUACUCUCGUCUACUGCUUUUCCCUCAUCCUUCAAGUCUUUUGACUCAAGAGAGGGGCACACCUCUCCAGAAGAAAGAACUAAGAAUCAACGACUCACUAAGAGACAGACACUGGGAAGAUUGCUCCACAGUGGCCUGACCCUUGUCAUCUCAAGAAAAUGAACAGGUAAGAAAAAUGAAGGUUUUUGU
Molecule: long non-coding RNA, 882 nt
Filed under: Marmota monax (woodchuck)
Lineage: Eukaryota; Metazoa; Chordata; Mammalia; Rodentia; Sciuridae
Source: RNAcentral